UACGGGGGGGGCAAGCGUUGUUCGGAAUUACUGGGCGUAAAGGGCUCGUAGGCGGCCAACUAAGUCAGUUGUGAAAUCUCCGGGCUUAACCCGGAAAGGUCAACUGAUACUGUGCGACUAGAGUGCAGAAGGGGCAACUGGAAUUCUCGGUGUAGCGGUGAAAUGCGUAGAUAUCGAGAGGAACACCUGCGGCGAAGGCGGGUUGCUGGGCUGACACUGACGCUGAGGCGCGAAAGCCAGGGGAGCGAACGGG
RNAcentral lists this ribosomal RNA (253 nucleotides) under uncultured bacterium. RNAcentral describes it as "partial 16S ribosomal RNA". It matches the Rfam family "Bacterial small subunit ribosomal RNA", at positions 524 to 776 of the family's 1533-position model. The record is from RNAcentral.